This 502-nucleotide ribosomal RNA is filed under the name uncultured bacterium. RNAcentral's name for it is "bacterial SSU rRNA". It matches the Rfam family "Bacterial small subunit ribosomal RNA", at positions 28 to 517 of the family's 1533-position model. The record is from RNAcentral.
GAUGAACGCUAGCUACAGGCUUAACACAUGCAAGUCGAGGGGAAACGACAUCGAAAGCUUGCUUUUGAUGGGCGUCGACCGGCGCACGGGUGAGUAACGCGUAUCCAACCUGCCCACCACUUGGGGAUAACCUUGCGAAAGUAAGACUAAUACCCAAUGAUAUCUCUAGAAGACAUCUGAAAGAGAUUAAAGAUUUAUCGGUGAUGGAUGGGGAUGCGUCUGAUUAGCUUGUUGGCGGGGUAACGGCCCACCAAGGCAACGAUCAGUAGGGGUUCUGAGAGGAAGGUCCCCCACAUUGGAACUGAGACACGGUCCAAACUCCUACGGGAGGCAGCAGUGAGGAAUAUUGGUCAAUGGGCGAGAGCCUGAACCAGCCAAGUAGCGUGCAGGAUGACGGCCCUAUGGGUUGUAAACUGCUUUUAUAAGGGAAUAAAGUGGGGCUCGUGAGCUCUUUUGCAUGUACCUUAUGAAUAAGGACCGGCUAAUUCCGUGCCAGCAGCCG